Pseudorhodoplanes sinuspersici is the source of this 72-nucleotide transfer RNA. It matches the Rfam family "tRNA". Rfam says of the family: Transfer RNA (tRNA) molecules are approximately 80 nucleotides in length. Their secondary structure includes four short double-helical elements and three loops (D, anti-codon, and T loops). Lineage: Bacteria; Pseudomonadati; Pseudomonadota; Alphaproteobacteria; Hyphomicrobiales. The record is from Rfam.
GCCGGCAUAGCUCAGCGGUAGAGCAGCGGUUUUGUAAACCGAAGGUCGGGAGUUCAAUCCUCUCUGCCGGCA